RNAcentral lists this transfer RNA (77 nucleotides) under Gillisella vitis. Its description in RNAcentral is "Agrobacterium vitis (Allorhizobium vitis) tRNA-Pro". It matches the Rfam family "tRNA". From Rfam's summary of the family: Transfer RNA (tRNA) molecules are approximately 80 nucleotides in length. Their secondary structure includes four short double-helical elements and three loops (D, anti-codon, and T loops). RNAcentral also lists the same sequence under 4 other names. The record is from RNAcentral. Lineage: Bacteria; Pseudomonadati; Pseudomonadota; Alphaproteobacteria; Hyphomicrobiales; Rhizobiaceae.
CGGGGCGUAGCGCAGCCCGGUAGCGCACUUGACUGGGGGUCAAGGGGUCGCAGGUUCAAAUCCUGCCGUCCCGACCA